GAUGAACGCUGGCGGCGUGCUUAACACAUGCAAGUCGAGCGAAGCGCUUUGGUUAGAUUCUUCGGAUGAGGACCUUUGUGACUGAGCGGCGGACGGGUGAGUAACGCGUGGGUAACCUGCCUCAUACAGGGGGAUAACAGUUAGAAAUGACUGCUAAUACCGCAUAAGCCCACGGUGCCGCAUGGCACAGCGGGAAAAAGGAUUUAUUCGCUUCAGGAUGGACUCGCGUCCAAUUAGCUAGUGUGAGGUAACGGCCACCAAGGCGACGAUUGGUAGCCGGACUGAGAGGUUGAACGGCCACAUUGGGACUGAGACACGGGCCCAGACUCCUACGGGAGGCAGCAGUGGGGGAUAUUGCACAAUGGGGGAAACCCUGAUGCAGCGACGCCGCGUGGAGGAAGAAGGGUUUUCGGAUUGUAAAC
This 422-nucleotide ribosomal RNA is filed under the name uncultured bacterium. Its description in RNAcentral is "bacterial SSU rRNA". It matches the Rfam family "Bacterial small subunit ribosomal RNA", at positions 28 to 430 of the family's 1533-position model. The record is from RNAcentral.